This 851-nucleotide long non-coding RNA is filed under the name Salvia miltiorrhiza (redroot sage). RNAcentral's name for it is "long non-coding RNA (SMIL_LNC013420)". Lineage: Eukaryota; Viridiplantae; Streptophyta; Magnoliopsida; Lamiales; Lamiaceae. The record is from RNAcentral.
CAUUCCUUGACUUGCUCCGUCCGCGUCCUUGACUUCUAGAUUUUUCUUCAAGGGCUUAUACAGGUCCUUCUGGUACAAGUAAUCCUCCAUUUGCAUUUUCCAAAAAAUUCAAAAUUCACACCGUUGAAUUUAUCAAUUUUGGAAAUUUUAUCGUCUGUCGACAUUGCUCCCACUCGAUCUGGACUCCUUGGAUCGUUUCUGAUUUUUCAGCUAACCACCGUGUUUAGAACACCUUUUGUCGACAAAUCGGAACCGCCGACAAAUUUCACUAUUCACGAAAUUCACUAUUCACGUGAAUAGUAACAGCGAAAAAACAUCAGAAAAUAUCUGCCACCACCGUGGCUCUGAUACCAGUUGUUGGGAAAUUAGACGCAACUAAUUCCGCCCGGGAUCAAGUGUGACUCAAUAUUUUGGAUAUCGACCGAUAUGAAACGAGAAGAAAAAUGACACCGAUAUUUUUAACGUGGUUCGGCCAAACUGCCUACGUCCACGGACCCACACCAAUAUAUUAGAGAAUCUCAAAAGGAGGAGUACAACAAAAAUACCACACUGUAUUUUGUAUCUGCCUACGCAGAGGCUAUAUCUCAACUCACUUUUAUCACUCGUGUAUAACUUCCACUCAGAAGCUAUCCUCACACAAGAUUUCUCUCUCUCUAAUAUCACACCCUUCUCUGGUGUUGUUCUGGGGGUUUUGGGGUUCUGGGUGAUUCUAAUGCUGCUGCCAUGCCUUCUAUUUAUAGGCAAAAUGAGGGUGGUUGGUGGCGGUAGGUGCACGCCAAGUUGGAGAAUUGGGGCUGCCUUUAUUUGACAAAAUAAAGCAGCUGCAACUUUUUGACAAUUGUUGCUUUUUG